UAGGGAAUUUUGGACAAUGGGGGAAACCCUGAUCCAGCCAUUCCGCGUGAGUGAAGAAGGCCUUCGGGUUGUAAAGCUCUUUUGUCCGGAACGAAACGGUUGGCGUGAAUAUCGCCGACUACUGACGGUACCGGAAGAAUACGCACCGGCUAACUACGAGCCAGCAGCCGCGGUAAUACGUAGGUGGCAAGCGUUGUCCGGAUUUAUUGGGUUUAAAGGGUGCGUAGGCGGUCCUAUAAGUCAGUGCUGAAAUAUCCCGGCUUAACCGGGAGGGUGGCAUUGAUACUGCAGGACUUGAGUAAAGUUGAGGUUGGCGGAAUUGACGGUGUAGCGGUGAAAUGCUUAGAUAUCGUCAAGAACACCGAUAGUGAAGACAGCUAACUAAGCUUUAACUGACGCUGAGGCACGGAAGUGUGGGGAUCAAA
Molecule: ribosomal RNA, 425 nt
Filed under: uncultured bacterium
Lineage: Bacteria
Description: bacterial SSU rRNA
Rfam family: Bacterial small subunit ribosomal RNA
Source: RNAcentral